This is a small nuclear RNA of Trifolium pratense (red clover), 120 nucleotides long. RefSeq annotates it as U5 spliceosomal RNA. The transcript has a single exon. The record is from RefSeq and is a predicted model, not a curated record. NCBI's taxonomy places the organism in Eukaryota, Viridiplantae, Streptophyta, Magnoliopsida, Fabales, Fabaceae.
UCCCACACAAUGGGCAUGAAGGGAACUAUUAUUUCUCCUUUUACUAAAGAAUAUCGUGUACUGUACUCAUUGCAUGAAGUGGCAUUCCUUUAUUUUUGUAAGGUGACUUUCUGUUGAACU